This 237-nucleotide long non-coding RNA is filed under the name Setaria viridis. RNAcentral's name for it is "long non-coding RNA (SVIR_LNC004636)". Lineage: Eukaryota; Viridiplantae; Streptophyta; Magnoliopsida; Poales; Poaceae. The record is from RNAcentral.
UAAUUUUCAGAUGGAUGUGUUUUUGCAGGUUAUACAGGGAUCAGUUAGAAGCGGAAGGUGUGUUGGACCACGUUAUUGAUCGUAGAAUUCAGAAAGAAUUUUCUUGAUGGUUUAAAUCGUAUGUAAGUUUUCUGCUUUUUUAGAACAAACUUAUAUUAGCCAUGCUUUUGUUGUACAGAUUGAAAAGAUGCCUGAAGGAGAGGACUCUGAUGACCUAUAUGCAUUAUCAGCUGUACG